GAUGAACGCUGGCGGCGUGCCUAAUACAUGCAAGUCGAGCGAACGGACGAGAAGCUUGCUUCUCUGAUGUUAGCGGCGGACGGGUGUGUAACACGUGUAUAACCUACCUAUAAGACUGGGAUAAUUUCGGGAAACCGUAGCUUAUCCCGGAUAACAUUUUGAACCGCAUGGUUCAAAAGUGAAAGACGGUCUUGCUGUCUCUUCUAGCUGGAUCUGCGCUGCAUUAGCUAGUUGGUAAGGUAACGGCUUACCAAGGCAACGAUGCGUGACCGACCUGUGAGACUGGUAGCCCACCCGAGAGCUGAGACACGGUCAAGACUCCUACGGGAGGCAGCAGUAGCGAAUCGGACGCAAUAGGCGAGAGCAUGGCAGAACGGGGGCGCGUGAGAGGUAGAGGUCUUCGGAGCGUAAAGCUCGGUUAUUGGUGAAAAACAUAUUUGUAAUUAACUGAGCACAGCGUGACGGUACCUAAUCAAAAAGCAACGGCUAACUACGUG
This 497-nucleotide ribosomal RNA is filed under the name uncultured bacterium. RNAcentral describes it as "partial 16S ribosomal RNA". It matches the Rfam family "Bacterial small subunit ribosomal RNA", at positions 28 to 507 of the family's 1533-position model. The record is from RNAcentral.